RNAcentral lists this ribosomal RNA (614 nucleotides) under uncultured fungus. RNAcentral's name for it is "eukaryotic LSU rRNA". The stretch from base 259 to 412 matches the Rfam family "5.8S ribosomal RNA". Lineage: Eukaryota; Fungi. The record is from RNAcentral.
AAGUCGUACAGGUUUCCGUAGGUGAACCUGCGGAAGGAUCAUUAACCUUUCAAAUCAGGGUGCGGCGCGGCCCCCGAGGAGCGGAAACAAUCCUUGGGAGGUAUGCGGGGGCUUCGAGCCCCCCAUUUACGCACGCACGACUGCCAUCCUUACUUUACGAGCACCUUCUGUUCUCCCUCGGCGGGGCAACCUGCCGUUGGAACCGAAUAAACUCUUUUUGCAUCUAGCAUUACCUGUUCCGAAACAAACAAUCGUUACAACUUUCAACAAUGGAUCACUUGGCUCUGGCAUCGAUGAAGAACGCAGCGAAAUGCGAUAAGUAGUGUGAAUUGCAGAAUUCAGUGAAUCAUCGAAUCUUUGAACGCACAUUGCGCCCCUCGGUAUUCCGUGGGGCAUGCCUGUUCGAGCGUCAUCUACACCCUCAAGCUCUGCUUGGUGUUGGGCGUCUGUCCCGCCUCCGCGCGUGGACUCGCCCCAAAUUCAUUGGCAGCGGUCCUUGCCUCCUCUCGCGCAGCACAUUGCGCUUCUCGAGGGGCUACGGCUCGCGUCCAACAAGCACAUUUACCGUCUUUGACCUCGGAUCAGGUAGGGAUACCCGCUGAACUUAAGCAUAU